Salmo salar (Atlantic salmon) is the source of this 54-nucleotide non-coding RNA. The record is from Rfam. NCBI's taxonomy places the organism in Eukaryota, Metazoa, Chordata, Actinopteri, Salmoniformes, Salmonidae.
CUAAUGCACUAAUGUAAGUUGCUAUGGAUAAUAGCGUCUGCUAAAUUACAAAAA